GCGCUCGCUUCAACAGCACCUUCACUACAGUUGGAAUAAUACAGAGAUUAGCUUGGCCUGUGCGCAGGGGUGACACACAGACGUCAUGUGGUUCAACCUGGCCUC
Mustela putorius furo (domestic ferret) is the source of this 105-nucleotide small nuclear RNA. Lineage: Eukaryota; Metazoa; Chordata; Mammalia; Carnivora; Mustelidae. The record is from Ensembl.